UACGUAGGGGGCAAGCGUUGUCCGGAUUUAUUGGGCGUAAAGAGCGUGUAGGCGGCCAUUCAGGUCAGCUGUGAAAACUCGAGGCUCAACCUCGAGACGUCGGUUGAAACCGUUUGGCUAGAGUCCGGAAGAGGAGAGUGGAAUUCCCGGUGUAGCGGUGAAAUGCGCAGAUAUCGGGAAGAACACCCGUGGCGAAGGCGGCUCUCUGGGACGGUACUGACGCUGAGACGCGAAACGUGGGGAGCGAACAGG
Molecule: ribosomal RNA, 252 nt
Filed under: uncultured bacterium
Lineage: Bacteria
Description: partial 16S ribosomal RNA
Rfam family: Bacterial small subunit ribosomal RNA
Source: RNAcentral